UACGUAGGGUGCAAGCGUUGUCCGGAAUUAUUGGGCGUAAAGAGCUCGUAGGCGGUUUGUCGCGUCUGCUGUGAAAACCCGAGGCUCAACCUCGGGCCUGCAGUGGGUACGGGCAGACUAGAGUGCGGUAGGGGAGAUUGGAAUUCCUGGUGUAGCGGUGGAAUGCGCAGAUAUCAGGAGGAACACCGAUGGCGAAGGCAGGUCUCUGGGCAGUAACUGACGCUGAGGAGCGAAAGCGUGGGGAGCGAACAGG
RNAcentral lists this ribosomal RNA (253 nucleotides) under uncultured bacterium. Its description in RNAcentral is "partial 16S ribosomal RNA". It matches the Rfam family "Bacterial small subunit ribosomal RNA", at positions 524 to 776 of the family's 1533-position model. The record is from RNAcentral.